GAAGUCGGAAUCCGCUAAGGAGUGUGUAACAACUCACCUGCCGAAUGAAUCAGCCCUGAAAAUGGAUGGCGCUUAAGCGGGCGACCGACACCAUGCCGUCUGUACAAGAUUGUAAAUACAGAUGAGUAGGAGGACGUGGCGGUUGUGUCGAAGCAUGCGUGCGAACGCGUGUGGAACGGCCGCUAGUGCAGAUCUUGGUGGUAGUAGCAAAUAUUCAAGCGAGAUCCUUGAAGGGCGAAGCGGGGAAGGGUUCCACGCAAACAUUGAUUGGGCGUGGGUGAGUCGUUCCUAAGCCGAGUGGCAAUUGCUAAGUAGCGGCGAAAGGGAAGCAGGUUGACAUUCCUGCACACGGAUGUGGAGGCGGUGACGCUUUAAUGAGGGCGAAGACGCUGGCGAUGGCGCUGGGCAGAGAUUUCUUUUCUGUUUAACCGCUGAAGCGCGCGGUGUGGAAUCCGCUUGUCGGGAGAAACACGCUCGUUCGGGCAGAGCGCCGGGGCUAUUCCGGCGUCCAGCUCGCCAUCGACGGCCCUUGAAAAUUUGCCUGCUGGAAUAGUAUUUUUUUUAUUCUAUGAAGAUCCACGCCGUGGCGUACCGAUAACCGCAUCAGGUCCCCAAGGUGAACAGCCUCUGCUCUAUAUGAAUAAUGCAGGUAAGGGAAGUCGGCAAAUUGGACCCGUAACUUUGGGAAAAGGGUUGGCUCUAGUGCUGCGUGGGAGUAGUUGUCGGGUGUGGGCGUUUUUGGACUUGCUGAGCGAGCGCGAGGGAGGCGCAUCUUUCGGGGUGUUUGUCCACUUUUGUGUUCAAUUGGCGAGACUGGAUCCGCCUCGCUCGACGACGCCCACAGCAUGCAGCAGACUAGAACUGCAACGGGCAAAGGGAAUCCGACUGUUUAAUUAAAACAAAGCAUUGCGAGGGCCGUGGCCGGUGAUGACGCAAUGUGA
This 941-nucleotide ribosomal RNA is filed under the name Dermocorynus dichotomus. Its description in RNAcentral is "LSU rRNA". It matches the Rfam family "Eukaryotic large subunit ribosomal RNA", at positions 1257 to 2194 of the family's 3401-position model. Lineage: Eukaryota; Rhodophyta; Florideophyceae; Halymeniales; Halymeniaceae. The record is from RNAcentral.